AUGCAAGUCGGACGGAGCUUAGAGAGCUUGCUUUUUAAGCUUAGUGGCGAACGGGUGAGUAACGCGUGAGUAACCUGCCCUAGAGUGGGGGACAACAGUUGGAAACGACUGCUAAUACCGCAUAAGCCCACGGUACCGCAUGGUACUGAGGGAAAAGGAUUUAUUCGCUUUAGGAUGGACUCGCGUCCAAUUAGCUAGUUGGUGAGGUAACGGCCCACCAAGGCGACGAUUGGUAGCCGGACUGGGAGGUUGAACGGCCACAUUGGGACUGAGACACGGCCCAGACUCCUACGGGAGGCAGCAGUGGGGGAUAUUGCACAAUGGGGGAAACCCUGAUGCAGCGACGCCGCGUGGAGGAAGAAGGUUUUCGGAUUGUAAACUCCUGUCGUUAGGGACGAUAAUGACGGUACCUAACAAGAAAGCACCGGCUAACUACGUGCCAGCAGCCGCGGUAAAACGUAGGGUGCAAGCGUUGUCCGGAAUUACUGGGUGUAAAGGGAGCGCAGGCGGGAAGACAAGUUGGAAGUGAAAACCAUGGGCUCAACCCAUGAAUUGCUUUCAAAACUGUUUUUCUUGAGUAGUGCAGAGGUAGAUGGAAUUCCCGGUGUAGCGGUGGAAUGCGUAGAUAUCGGGAGGAACACCAGUGGCGAAGGCGGUCUACUGGGCACCAACUGACGCUGAGGCUCGAAAGCAUGGGUAGCAAACAGGAUUAGAUACCCUGGUAGUCCAUGCCGUAAACGAUGAUUACUAGGUGUUGGGGGAUUGACCC
RNAcentral lists this ribosomal RNA (769 nucleotides) under uncultured bacterium. Its description in RNAcentral is "bacterial SSU rRNA". It matches the Rfam family "Bacterial small subunit ribosomal RNA", at positions 55 to 838 of the family's 1533-position model. The record is from RNAcentral.